Molecule: ribosomal RNA, 447 nt
Filed under: uncultured bacterium
Lineage: Bacteria
Description: bacterial SSU rRNA
Rfam family: Bacterial small subunit ribosomal RNA
Source: RNAcentral
UGGGGAAUCUUGGACAAUGGGCGCAAGCCUGAUCCAGCCAUGCCGCGUGAGUGAAGAAGGCCUUCGGGUUGUAAAGCUCUUUUACCAGGGACGAUAAUGACGGUACCUGGAGAAUAAGCCCCGGCAAACUUCGUGCCAGCAGCCGCGGUAAUACGAAGGGGGCUAGCGUUGUUCGGAAUUACUGGGCGUAAAGCGCACGUAGGCGGAUUGUUAAGUCAGAGGUGAAAUCCCGGAGCUCAACUUCGGAACUGCCUUUGAUACUGGCAAUCUAGAGUCCGGAAGAGGUUAGUGGAAUUCCCAGUGUAGAGGUGAAAUUCGUAGAUAUUAGGAAGAACACCGGUGGCGAAGGCGGCUCACUGGAUCGGUACUGACGCUGAGGUGCGAAAGCGUGGGGAGCAAACAGGAUUAGAUACCCCCGUAGUCCCUGAGCGGGCUGGCAAGGCGCAU